Molecule: ribosomal RNA, 253 nt
Filed under: uncultured bacterium
Lineage: Bacteria
Description: partial 16S ribosomal RNA
Rfam family: Bacterial small subunit ribosomal RNA
Source: RNAcentral
UACGGGGGGAGCAAGCGUUGUUCGGAUUUACUGGGCGUAAAGGGCGCGUAGGCGGUAGCACAAGUCAGUUGUGAAAUCUCCGGGCUUAACUCGGAAAGGUCAACUGAUACUGUGCGACUAGAGUGCAGAAGGGGCAACUGGAAUUCUCGGUGUAGCGGUGAAAUGCGCAGAUAUCAGGAAGAACACCCGUGGCGAAGGCGGCUCUCUGGGACGGUACUGACGCUGAGACGCGAAAGCGUGGGGAGCGAACAGG